RNAcentral lists this long non-coding RNA (373 nucleotides) under Bos taurus (domestic cattle). RNAcentral describes it as "long non-coding RNA NONBTAT000983". The record is from RNAcentral. Lineage: Eukaryota; Metazoa; Chordata; Mammalia; Artiodactyla; Bovidae.
AAAGAGAGCACUUUCUUCCUGUAAAUAUCUUUUGAUACCCAUCUGUGUAAAAUCCUGAUGAAUGUGUCUUGAAACGUACAGCAUAUCAAGGUUCUUGUUUUGUUAGUUGAUCUAAAUGCCCACAUAAUUCAUUAGAAAUCCAGUUUAAUUCAUAUUGGGAUUCUUUUUUCGAGGGGAGAAAAAGUAUGCAAACAGAACUAUUAGGAAGAGUCCCAUAUGAAUGCCAUUUUAUGUCAACAUUGCUUUAAUAUUUUGAAUUGACUGGCUGUUUUCUCCCACCUACAAGAGAAUGUGUCUGCCAUUCCCCUGUGCUCACUGUGGGUUGUAGGGAGUAGCCUGUUCCUCCCAACAUCAUCGGUUCCUUCACCUGAAC